This 498-nucleotide ribosomal RNA is filed under the name uncultured bacterium. RNAcentral describes it as "bacterial SSU rRNA". It matches the Rfam family "Bacterial small subunit ribosomal RNA", at positions 66 to 543 of the family's 1533-position model. The record is from RNAcentral.
ACGCGAAAGUCCCCUUCGGGGGACAAGUAGAGUGGCGCACGGGUGAGUAACACGUAGGUAAUCUACCUUUGGAUGGGGAAUAACAACCGGAAACGGUUGCUAAUACCGCAUAAUGCAGCGGCACCUAAUGGUGACAGUUGUUAAAGCGGGGGAUCGAAAGACCUCGCGUCUAAAGAGGAGCCUGCGGCAGAUUAGCUAGUUGGUAAGGUAAUGGCUUACCAAGGCGAUGAUCUGUAGCCGGCCUGAGAGGGCGGUCGGCCACACUGACACUGACAUACGGGUCAGACUCCUACGGGAGGCAGCAGUCGGGAAUUUUGGGCAAUGGGCGAAAGCCUGACCCAGCAACGCCGCGUGAAGGAUGAAAUCCCUCGGGAUGUAAACUUCGCAAGAACGGGAAGAAUAAGUAAGAGCUAACAUCUCUUAUGAUGACGGUACUGUUUGUAAGCUCCGGCUAACUCCGUGCCAGCAGCCGCGGUAAUACGGGGGGAGCAAGCGUUG